UACGAAGGGGGCAAGCGUUGUUCGGAUUUACUGGGCGUAAAGGGCGCGCAGGCGGCUCGCCAAGUCAGAUGUGAAAGCCCCGGGCUCAACCUGGGAACUGCAUUUGAGACUGGCGAGCUCGAGUUCGGGAGAGGAUGGCGGAAUUCCCAGUGUAGAGGUGAAAUUCGUAGAUAUUGGGAAGAACACCGGUGGCGAAGGCGGCCAUCUGGACCGAGACUGACGCUGAGGCGCGAAAGCGUGGGGAGCAAACAGG
Molecule: ribosomal RNA, 253 nt
Filed under: uncultured bacterium
Lineage: Bacteria
Description: partial 16S ribosomal RNA
Rfam family: Bacterial small subunit ribosomal RNA
Source: RNAcentral